This is a non-coding RNA of Chelonoidis abingdonii (Abingdon island giant tortoise), 296 nucleotides long. Lineage: Eukaryota; Metazoa; Chordata; Testudines; Testudinidae. The record is from RefSeq and is a predicted model, not a curated record.
AGGUUUUCUGAUGGGGAACCAAAGGGAAGCCACAGGAGUGGUCAUGCACCCCUCAUGAGCAGUUCUGGGGAGUCUUUUUGGGGCUCCUGGAGUAGGCAGCAGAGAGGUGCAGCCUCACCACCAAGUCUGUUUCCCUGGAGGAGAGAGGGGGCAGCAGGGUGAUCUCCUACCUCUAUGCAGCCAGGAGCCUCUGCUCCCCUCUACCAGGCUGGAGCCUCCACAUUUAUUUAUUGGCAAAUAAAAUUUGCAGAAUUUUAAAACAUUGUGCACAGAAUUUUUAUUUUUUUGGUACAGAA